AACGAACGCUGGCGGCAGGCCUAACACAUGCAAGUCGAGCGAGGACUUCGGUCCUAGCGGCGGACGGGUGAGUAACGCGUGGGAACGUGCCCUUUGCUUCGGAAUAGCCCUGGGAAACUGGGAGUAAUACCGGAUGAGCCCUUUGGGGGAAAGAUUUAUCGGCGAAGGAUCGGCCCGCGUUGGAUUAGGUAGUUGGUGGGGUAAUGGCCUACCAAGCCGACGAUCCAUAGCUGGUUUGAGAGGAUGAUCCGCCACACUGGGACUGAGACACGGCCCAGACUCCUACGGGAGGCAGCAGUGGGGAAUCUUAGACAAUGGGGGAAACCCUGAUCUAGCCAUGCCGCGUGAGCGAUGAAGGCCUUAGGGUUGUAAAGCUCUUUCAGCUGGGAAGAUAAUGACGGUACCAGCAGAAGAAGCCCCGGCUAACUCCGUG
This 433-nucleotide ribosomal RNA is filed under the name uncultured bacterium. RNAcentral's name for it is "partial 16S ribosomal RNA". It matches the Rfam family "Bacterial small subunit ribosomal RNA", at positions 29 to 507 of the family's 1533-position model. The record is from RNAcentral.